Suricata suricatta (meerkat) is the source of this 1663-nucleotide long non-coding RNA. NCBI's taxonomy places the organism in Eukaryota, Metazoa, Chordata, Mammalia, Carnivora, Herpestidae. The record is from Ensembl.
GCCCGCGCCACCGUCGCCUCGCGCCAGCCGGUCCCCGGACACGCCGCCGCCGCCGCCGCCGCCGCCAGGAAGGCAGCCGGAGCGGAACAAGUUGCGAGCGCGCCUCUCCGCCCGGGGAAAGUUUCCCCCGCGGCCGCCGGCGGGAGUUGGUUGGGGUCCGGCUGCUGCUGCUGGAAGAGUUUAUCCUGAAGCCAUCAGACCCUCCUGACCCUCCCGGAAGGAACAGACACCAACUGGAAGAGGAGGGCAUCACCUGGACUGCCCGGGCGUAGUGUGGCCGAGAGUAGAGAGCUUCCAACACCGUCAUCAGAGCAACUUGAAACCUUUGACGUUGGCAUCUAGACACGACUCAGUCCUUUUCCAGACCUCCCAACGCCGACCACCCAGGACGAGCUGGGCCCAUAAAAGAAGACACAAGAGCCCCUCUGACUGGAGACUCUGUCCUGCCGACACCCAAAGACCUGCCCCGGUGACGUGUCAGCACCUGACGCCCCUCCCUCUGUGGGCGCCUCUGCUCCAUCCCCCAACACCGGCCCCUGCCCAUCCCCCUCUGCCCUUCCUCCGUCUAUCUCUUCCCCUGUCACCUCUUGCUGUUUUCCUUUGUCUUUCCCUCUUUUUCUGACACGUCUUGGUCUACAUCUCUGAUUUGCAGGUCCAUACUGGUAUCUGUUUUCUCUUUUCCCACUGUUCAUUCCUCCUGACGUAUUAAUGGAGGACCCACUGUGUGCGAGGCACGGCUCUCGACCCUAGGAACACGGCAGUGAGCAAAACAAGUCCAAGCCUUUAUUUAAAAAAAUUUUUUAAUGUAUGUUUAUUUUUGAGGGAGAGAGAGACAGAAUGUGAGCAGGGGAGGGACAGAGAGAGAGGGAGACAUAGAAUCCAAACCAGGCUCCAGGCUCUGAGCUAGCGGUCCGCAGAGCUCGACUCGGGGCUCAAACUCAUGAACUGUGAGAUCAUUAGCUGAGCCAGUCAGAUGCUCGACUGACUGAGCCCCCAGGUACCUAGUCCAUGCCUUUACGAAGCACGUGUUCUAACAAGGGAAGGUGUGUGCUACCAAAUUAAAUAAGGACAACACCAAGUAGGCAGUGUGUCCACGGACCCUGACCGGGCUUCAAGGCCAGGGCGCUAGGCUCACCUCCAUCGCUCCCUCGGCCACACCCCUUUUCCACUUCUCAGCCUGUUUUCCCAUCUCCCAAGUGAGGGGAUCGGGCCGAUCUGUGCCACCCUCCCUUCUUGUGACCAAGAACCUCUUUUAUUAAAAUGCUGGUGACAUACGUCACACAAGCUCCAGAUUCUAGAUCAGUGGUGACGCCAGUGGGAGAGUUGCAGAAAGGUUUCUGACCAGUCUGAAGGCUCUGACACACCUGGUUUGGUUGUGCGAGAAACAGUCAGCGCCUCUGGGGGUCUUGUUGUAUGAUAUGCCUGUCUGUAGGCCCAGAGCCCUCAGCUGGGCAGGCGAGGGGCCCCGUGACAGGCACCUCGAGAUCCCGAGAUCCAGGGCAGCAGGCUCCCAGCCCCGCUCACCCUGGGGGAGACCCCAGAGCCAGGCGCGGGGUGAGGGGAUGAUUUCCCAAGGGGUUGACUGAAAUCCUGAAAACAGCUUUAGGAAGAGUGCUAGCCUCAGGGAACCCAGUUUGAGGACCGUUCUCCCUGGUCAGAAAUC